Molecule: transfer RNA, 72 nt
Filed under: bioreactor metagenome
Description: tRNA-Gln
Rfam family: tRNA
About the family: Transfer RNA (tRNA) molecules are approximately 80 nucleotides in length.
Source: RNAcentral
UGCCCGAUCGUCUAAUGGCAGGACAGUAGCCUUUGGAGCUAUUAAUCUAGGUUCGAAUCCUGGUCGGGCAUC